AACUGAUACUACCUGCGGGAACCUGCGGAAGGAUCAUUACUGAAGUGCUUGGAGAUGUUGCUGGCUCCUUUCGAGGAGUACUGUGCACUCUUCCAACUUUUCACAAUUUCCUUCACACCCUGUGCACUCCCCGUAGGGCCCCUCAAAGGCUUGAAUGCCUGAGAGGGAGACUCUAUGUCUGUUUUCACUACACCCCUUAAUGAAUGUAUGGUGAUGUCACAAAAAUAUAAAAGAAACAAC
Molecule: unclassified non-coding RNA, 240 nt
Filed under: soil metagenome
Description: partial contains 5.8S ribosomal RNA, internal transcribed spacer 2, and large subunit ribosomal RNA
Source: RNAcentral